AUACUUACCUGGCAGGGGAGAUACCAUGAUCACGAAGGUGGUUUUCCCAGGGCGAGGCUUAUCCAUUGCACUCCGGAUGUGCUGACCCCUGCGAUUUCCCCAAAUGUGGGAAACUCGACUGCAUGAUUUGUGGUAGUGGGGGACUGCAUUCGCGCUUUCCCCUG
RNAcentral lists this small nuclear RNA (164 nucleotides) under Tupaia belangeri chinensis (Chinese tree shrew). Its description in RNAcentral is "Tupaia chinensis (Chinese tree shrew) U1 spliceosomal RNA". It matches the Rfam family "U1 spliceosomal RNA". From Rfam's summary of the family: U1 is a small nuclear RNA (snRNA) component of the spliceosome (involved in pre-mRNA splicing). Its 5' end forms complementary base pairs with the 5' splice junction, thus defining the 5' donor site of an intron. There are significant differences in sequence and secondary structure between metazoan and yeast U1 snRNAs, the latter being much longer (568 nucleotides as compared to 164 nucleotides in human). The record is from Rfam by way of RNAcentral. Lineage: Eukaryota; Metazoa; Chordata; Mammalia; Scandentia; Tupaiidae.